GACGGUAACGCCUACCUCACAGUCUUACAAGGCGGAUCAAAUGAAAGACUCGGAACAGAUGACUGACCCAGAGUAUGCUGAGUCAUCUACGUGUGAGUGCACUGUACAUGGGGCUGUACCAGUGUGAUCCAAACCAGCUUUAUCUCAUCUGAGAUGUUACGUCCCCCUCGAAGGCUCAUGUG
RNAcentral lists this long non-coding RNA (182 nucleotides) under Fukomys damarensis (Damara mole-rat). RNAcentral describes it as "lncRNA (ENSFDAG00000023609.1)". The record is from RNAcentral. Lineage: Eukaryota; Metazoa; Chordata; Mammalia; Rodentia; Bathyergidae.